Long non-coding RNA from Lutra lutra (Eurasian river otter), 98 nucleotides. RefSeq lists it as uncharacterized. The record is from RefSeq and is a predicted model, not a curated record. Lineage: Eukaryota; Metazoa; Chordata; Mammalia; Carnivora; Mustelidae. The transcript is spliced from 2 exons.
GUUCUAUCCCAGGACCCUGAGAUCAUGACCUGAGCUGAAGUGCUAAAUUUUGGGGUGAACAAUUGAUAAUACACUCACCGAUUAUCUGCAGCUAUGCU